This is a long non-coding RNA of Solanum tuberosum (potato), 1122 nucleotides long. RefSeq lists it as uncharacterized. The transcript has 3 exons. The record is from RefSeq and is a predicted model, not a curated record. NCBI's taxonomy places the organism in Eukaryota, Viridiplantae, Streptophyta, Magnoliopsida, Solanales, Solanaceae.
CAAAAUGGAAGGUCAGCUGAAAAGACACAAAUUGCAGCUGAAAAGUAGAAUUUCACGAACACCAUCUCAAUACGUCCGAUCAGUCAUUGAUGUGUCUAUCAAAGCUCAAGGUAGCUGGAGAACCAUCACUGGAGAGACCCCAAUUUCUGAUCCUUCUUCUAUUGGGAGUGUGUGUUUUCCCCCCUCAAACAAGAGAAGAAAAAAACACCAGGAACAAAUUUCUGAGCCGUAGGAAUCGUUCAGCAACUCUCGUCUGUUGUAUCUCCUGCACCUCGCCACACCUACCAGCUUAGCUUGGAGAUGUAAAGCUCGAUUAGCAACUUCAAAUGAAACCACUGUAAUCAUCAAGCAUACCAUUUCAACACCUCAAGCUCUCACCAGGUGCAUGAUAUACUUAAUUAUCAAUCGAACAUAUUUCAGACAUCAUAAGCAUAAUGGUAACUAUUCUCUUGUUCGAAUACAUUGUUCUCAUUAUUACUCGAACUACAUUGGCAAAAUAUGAUUGAUACGCUAGACUUCCCUACUUGUCUAAUUCUGAUCCUGCUUUUCUAACUUGAAAUGAGAUUGAUAGACCUUAUGUUGAACCUUCGUGCAGUGAAUUAUAUUUUAUUGAACCUACCAAUAAAAGUUGUAUAGAUUCAAUUCAUUUGUCUUCUUCUUAUGUGAGGAGUUCCGCUUUUAUCCAAGUUUAGGAUUCUUCGUCCCUCCAUAGGAAUGUCUUGAAAAUGGCUAAAGUGAUAAUCACCUGCAAAAUUAAAAACUAGGUUAGCAAAAUAAUCCGCAAGAGUAUUUCCUUCUCAAAAGGUGUGUUGUAUACGCGCCGAUAAGGAUCUUCCCAAGUAGUUUAUGGAAUUGACCUCCAAAGUCACACUCCAAGGGACAUUCCACCCUCCUUCCAAAAUUUGUACCAUGGCGAUAGAAUCUGUUUCAAUAAUGACAUGUGAUAACAGAUGCUCCUUACAAAAAAACAACCCUUCUCUAAUAGCCCUUGCUUCAGCUACUAGAUUAGAGGUAUUAUGUAUUUUGAAACCCUUCACCACAACUAAUGAACCAGAGUGAUCCCUAAUACAAAAGGCUGCAGAACUAGGUCCUGGAUUACCCCUAGAUGCUCCAUCAGUAUUA